GAUGAACGCUGGCGGCGUGCUUAACACAUGCAAGUCGAACGGAAAGGCCCUGCUUUUGUGGGGUGCUCGAGUGGCGAACGGGUGAGUAACACGUGAGUAACCUGCACUUGACUUUGGGAUAACUUCAGGAAACUGGUGCUAAUACCGGAUAGGAGCUCCUGCUGCAUGGUGGGGGUUGGAUUGUUUGGGCGGUUGGGGAUGGACUCGCGGCUUAUCAGCUUGUUGGUGGGGUAGUGGCUUACCAAGGCUUUGACGGGUAGCCGGCCUGAGAGGGUGACCGGACACAUUGGGACUGAGAGACGGCCCAGACUCCUACGGGAGGCAGCAGUGGGGAAUAUUGCACAAUGGGCGGAAGCCUGAUGCAGCACCGCCGCGUGCGGGAUGACGGCCUUCGGGGUGUAAACCGCUUUCGCCUGUGACGAAGCGUGAGUGACGGUAAUGGGUAAAGAAGCACCGGCUAACUACGUG
RNAcentral lists this ribosomal RNA (468 nucleotides) under uncultured bacterium. RNAcentral describes it as "partial 16S ribosomal RNA". It matches the Rfam family "Bacterial small subunit ribosomal RNA", at positions 28 to 507 of the family's 1533-position model. The record is from RNAcentral.